GGAUGGCAGAAGCAGGCAAAGGUCCCCAACCCCUUAAGGACACACGACAGAAAUACUCCGUCAUGAUUCCCUUAAAUUCCAGAAGUUGUGUCCCCAAGGGGCUAAAGACCCUCUUACCUGCUACUCCGUUCCCAAUUGCACCCAAACUUCUGACACCAGUUUGUUGGGGAUAAAAUCAGCCUGGGCCCUUUGUGGAUGAUGGAUAUUUGCCAACUCAUACAGAGCUCUGGAAAUUGGAAAUGAAUAGCAGAGACGUG
RNAcentral lists this long non-coding RNA (257 nucleotides) under Pelobates cultripes (western spadefoot toad). Lineage: Eukaryota; Metazoa; Chordata; Amphibia; Anura; Pelobatidae. The record is from RNAcentral.